AUCGCUCUCGCCUUUGACUAAGAUCAAGUGUAGUAUCUGUUCUUAUCAGUUAAUAUCUGAUACGUCCUCUAUCCGAGAACAAUAUAUUAAAUGUAUUUUUGUAGCAGAGAGAUAGAAUAGGAGCUUGCUCCGUCCACUCCACACAUCGACCUGGUAUUGCAGUACUUCCAGGAAUGGUGCACCAAAA
This 187-nucleotide small nuclear RNA is filed under the name Echinops telfairi (small Madagascar hedgehog). RNAcentral's name for it is "U2 spliceosomal RNA (ENSETEG00000021545.1)". It matches the Rfam family "U2 spliceosomal RNA". From Rfam's summary of the family: U2 is a small nuclear RNA (snRNA) component of the spliceosome (involved in pre-mRNA splicing). Complementary binding between U2 snRNA (in an area lying towards the 5' end but 3' to hairpin I) and the branchpoint sequence (BPS) of the intron results the bulging out of an unpaired adenosine, on the BPS, which initiates a nucleophilic attack at the intronic 5' splice site, thus starting the first of two transesterification reactions that mediate splicing. Lineage: Eukaryota; Metazoa; Chordata; Mammalia; Afrosoricida; Tenrecidae. The record is from RNAcentral.